AGAAUCUGCCAAUCACGGCACAGAGCUGCCAGACCCGGCAUCAGCAGCUGCCCGCCCACCACCACCAGACUGGCAACCAUCGUCAUGGAGAAGCGCCAACCGGGCAAACACAGCUCAAUCCCUAAGAGAGAGCACGGCAAGCGUCCUCUGGUAGUCAUUGUGUCCCCAGGCUGUAAGUGAUCUACUCCACAGAGAGCAGUCUCAACCUAUUUAUGGGUCAGGGGUCGGGGGGAACCUGGAGCCUAUCCCAGAGACACCCUGGACGGGAUGCCAACUCUUCGGAGGGCACAUUCACACACACUCGCAUUCACACACUACGGACAACAUAGAGAUGCCAAUCAGCCUACAACACAUCUUUGGCCUGGCGGAGGAAACACUUGAAGCACAGUGAAAAUAUGCAAACUCCACACACACACAGGGUGGAGGUGGGAAUCAAGCCCCCAACCCUGGAGGUGCGAGGCAAGCGUACUAACACUAAGCCACCAUGCCCCCCUGUGGCCUAAUCCAUUAUUAUGAUUAUUAAUAAACAUGAACUCUACCAAUAUUCAU
Long non-coding RNA from Pangasianodon hypophthalmus (striped catfish), 549 nucleotides. RefSeq lists it as uncharacterized. The transcript is spliced from 3 exons. NCBI's taxonomy places the organism in Eukaryota, Metazoa, Chordata, Actinopteri, Siluriformes, Pangasiidae. The record is from RefSeq and is a predicted model, not a curated record.